CAAGUCGUACGGGGCCGCAAGGCACCCGUGGCGUAAGGGUGAGUAAGGCGACGGUAACCUACCCCAGGGCCGGGUAUAGCCGCGGGAAACCGCGGGUAAUCCCCGGCGACGCCGCGUUCCCGGCAUCGGGGGCCGGCCAAAGGUGUGAUUCCGCCCUGGGACGGGCCGUCGUGGUAUUAGGUUGUCGGCGGGGUAAUGGCCCACCAAGCCUCUGAUGCCUACCGGGCGUGCGAGCGUGGCCCGGCACACUGGGACUGAGACACUGCCCAGACUCCUACGGGAGGCUGCAGUCGAGAAUCUUCGGCAAUGGGCGCAAGCCCGACCGAGCGACGCCGCGUGGAGGACGAAGGCCUUCGGGUUGUAAACUCCUGUCGGGGGGGAACAAGGGGGCGUGCAGAACGUCUCUUGAGUGAUCCCCGGAGGAAGCACGGGCUAAGUUCGUGCCAGCAGCCGCGGUAAGACGAACCGUGCGAACGUUAUUCGGAAUUACUGGGCUUAAAGCGCGUGUAGGCGGGCCGGCACGUCGGCCGCUGAAAGCCCCCGGCUCAACCGGGGAAGCGGCGCCGAUACGACCGGCCUGGAGGGGGGUAGGGGGACCUGGAACUUCCGGUGGAGCGGUGAAAUGCGUUGAGAUCGGAAGGAACGCCCGUGGCGAAAGCGAGGUCCUGGACCCUUUCUGACGCUGAGACGCGAAAGCCAGGGGAGCGAACGGGAUUAGAUACCCCGGUAGUCCUGGCCGUAAACCAUGGGCACUGGGUAGGGGGCUC
This 767-nucleotide ribosomal RNA is filed under the name uncultured microorganism. RNAcentral's name for it is "bacterial SSU rRNA". It matches the Rfam family "Bacterial small subunit ribosomal RNA", at positions 58 to 830 of the family's 1533-position model. The record is from RNAcentral.